Molecule: ribosomal RNA, 1788 nt
Filed under: Triticum aestivum (bread wheat)
Lineage: Eukaryota; Viridiplantae; Streptophyta; Magnoliopsida; Poales; Poaceae
Description: partial small subunit ribosomal RNA
Source: RNAcentral
AUGCCGAAGAAGAGCAAGAAGAGCAAGAGCAAGCGGGUCACGCUCAAGGCGAAGCACAAGGUGCUGCGCAAGGUCAAGGAGCACCACCGCAAGAAGCGCAAGGAGGCGAGGAAGGAGGGCAAGACCGGCCGGAGCAAGGUCGAGAAGGACCCCGGGAUCCCCAACGAGUGGCCCUUCAAGGAGCAGGAGCUCAAGAACCUGGAGGUGCGCCGCGCCAUGGCCAUCAAGGAGCAGGAGGACAAGAAGGAGGCCCGCAGGGAGAGGGCUAGGAAGAGAAAGCUCGGAAUACCCGACGAUGAAGACAUGGCUAAUGACAAUGACGCAGCAGAGGUGACUGCUGCUUUAGCGGUGCCUAAGACCAAUGACCAUUCAGAGAGAGCCUUCUACAAGGAGCUGGUUAAAGUCAUCGAAGCUUCCGAUGUGAUUCUCGAGGUUCUUGAUGCAAGGGACCCACUGGGCACUCGCUGCGUUGACAUGGAGAAGAUGGUCAGGAAGGCUGAUCCAACUAAACGGAUUGUGCUGCUUCUCAACAAGAUAGAUCUUGUCCCCAAGGAGUCGGUAGAGAAGUGGCUUUCAUAUCUAAGGGAGGAAUUGCCAACUGUUGCAUACAAGUGCAACACUCAAGAGCAGAGGACCAAGCUGGGAUGGAAAUCGUCAAAGCUUGAUAAAACAAGCAAUAUCCCACAAAGCAGUGAUUGUCUUGGUGCUGAGAACCUGAUUAAACUGCUAAAAAAUUAUUCCAGGAGUCAUGAGCUCAAGUUGGCAAUUACUGUGGGUAUUGUUGGCCUUCCUAAUGUUGGCAAGAGCAGUCUAAUCAACAGUUUGAAGAGGUCCCGUGUGGUUAAUGUCGGUUCUACUCCAGGGGUUACUAGAUCAAUGCAGGAGGUUCAGUUAGACAAGAAGGUGAAGUUGUUGGAUUGUCCUGGUGUUGUGAUGCUCAGAUCUACCAGCAGUGGUGUGUCUGUAGCUCUUCGUAAUUGCAAAAGAGUUGAGAAGAUGGACGAUGUAAUCACUCCUGUUAAAGAAAUCAUCAGUCUUUGCCCACACGAGAAAUUGCUGUCUCUGUACAAGGUGCCAAGCUUUACUUCAGUUGAUGAUUUCCUUCAAAAACUUGCUACACUCAGGGGGAAAUUGAAAAAAGGUGGUAUAGUGGAUGUGGAAGCUGCUGCAAAAAUAGUGAUUCAUGACUGGAAUGAAGGCAAGGUACCCUACUUUACACUGCCACCUAAAAGGGAUGUUGUGGAGGACGCCAAUGCGGUAAUUAUCACAGAAGAUGGAAGUGAAUUCAAUGUUGAUGAAAUUUACAAAGCUGAGUCUUCAUAUAUUAGUGGUCUAAAAUCUAUGGAGGAGUUCAGUCAUAUUGAAAUUCCAUCUAAUGCCCCACCAGAGAUUGAUGAAGCGAUGCUCGAGGAUCCCCUGACGCAGAGUGCGCCUGUGAAGGACGAAUCGAUGUCCGACGCGAACGACCGUGAAGGAAGCAAGGCGGCGGCGAGUGGUGGCACGCAGCACGACAAGCUGUACACCGCCGAGGGCAUCCUCGACCCCCGCAAGAAGAAAGCGGAGAAGAAGCGGCGCAAGGGGAACAAGUUCAGCGUGCUGAACGACAUGGACGCGGACUACGACUUCAAGGUGGAUUACCAGAUGAAGGAUGCCUCCCCCGCGGACGACGAAGAUGGCGAUGGCAGCAAAGCCGAGGGCGAAGAACCCAAGGGUGAAGACGACAAGAAAGACGCCCCUGCUGCGGAGUGCGAGCCUAUGACGAGCGCAGGUUUUGGGGGUGCGAAUUAG